RNAcentral lists this ribosomal RNA (274 nucleotides) under uncultured bacterium. RNAcentral's name for it is "partial 16S ribosomal RNA". It matches the Rfam family "Bacterial small subunit ribosomal RNA", at positions 85 to 354 of the family's 1533-position model. The record is from RNAcentral.
CUGCCGGCGACCGGCGCACGGGUGAGUAACACGUAUGCAACCUGCCCUCCGCAGGGGGAUAACCCGGAGAAAUCCGGACUAAUACCGCGUGGUACAUCUGUGGGGCAUCCCACGGGUGUUAAAAGGAAGCGAUUCCGGCGGAGGAUGGGCAUGCGGCGCAUUAGCUAGUUGGCGGGGUAACGGCCCACCAAGGCGACGAUGCGUAGGGGUUCUGAGAGGAAGGUCCCCCACACUGGUACUGAGACACGGACCAGACUCCUACGGAAGGCAGCAG